AGGAAAGUCUGCCUGGGAAGGAUGCCCGCACAGAGGGAAGCUGAUUAAGAGAUGAAAAGAGACAGACUCUUGACAACAUUGUUGGAGCACCUGGAUCCAGAUGUGCCUGAAGCUACCUCCGGACUUUCCAGCUACACAAGCCAUUUUACAGAGGAAGAAACCCAGGCUAAACUACAACUUACCUUAACCAGCAAUUUGCUCAAGAUUACAUAGCAAGAAAGUGAGAAGAUGGGAUUGGCAGACCAAACUGGAAAAUGGGAAGCUUGACCCUACUCAAGUCUCAAAUAUUGGAGAGAGAAGCAGCUCCAGCAGCAACAGCAGCAGCAAUAGCAGGAAAAAUGAGCCAGAGG
This is a long non-coding RNA of Gorilla gorilla gorilla (western lowland gorilla), 350 nucleotides long. RefSeq lists it as uncharacterized. NCBI's taxonomy places the organism in Eukaryota, Metazoa, Chordata, Mammalia, Primates, Hominidae. The record is from RefSeq and is a predicted model, not a curated record. The transcript has 3 exons.